AUAUUUUUAUUAUAAAAAGUAUUAUAAAUUUAGGUUUUAUAGGUUUAAAAAAUAUU
Molecule: transfer RNA, 56 nt
Filed under: Gongylonema pulchrum
Lineage: Eukaryota; Metazoa; Nematoda; Chromadorea; Rhabditida; Gongylonematidae
Description: tRNA-Leu1
Source: RNAcentral